RNAcentral lists this ribosomal RNA (515 nucleotides) under uncultured bacterium. RNAcentral describes it as "bacterial SSU rRNA". It matches the Rfam family "Bacterial small subunit ribosomal RNA", at positions 798 to 1317 of the family's 1533-position model. The record is from RNAcentral.
CACGGUAAACGAUGGAUGCCCGCUGUUUGCGAUAUACUGUGAGCGGCCAAGAGAAAUCGUUAAGCAUCCCACCUGGGGAGUACGCCGGCAACGGUGAAACUCAAAGGAAUUGACGGGGGCCCGCACAAGCGGAGGAACAUGUGGUUUAAUUCGAUGAUACGCGAGGAACCUUACCCGGGCUUGAACUGCAGGAGAACGAUACAGAGAUGUUGAGGUCCUUCGGGACUCCUGUGGAGGUGCUGCAUGGUUGUCGUCAGCUCGUGCCGUGAGGUGUCGGCUUGAGUGCCAUAACGAGCGCAACCCUUUUCGUCAGUUGCCAUCAGGUGAAGCUGGGCACUCUGGCGAUACUGCCACCGUAAGGUGUGAGGAAGGUGGGGAUGACGUCAAAUCAGCACGGCCCUUACGUCCGGGGCUACACACGUGUUACAAUGGGUGGUACAGAGAGUCAACCGCCGGCAACGUCGGUUUAAUCAAAAAAGCCAUCCUCAGUUCGGAUUGGGGUCUGCAACCCGACC